GUGUGUGUGUGUGUGUGUGUGUGUGUCUACAUGGUACUAGGGCUCAAACCUGGGGUCUUACCGCUGAGUUAUGGCCCCAACCCUUUUUUGUUUUUAUUCUGAGACAAUCUCAUUAAUUUGCCCAGGCUGGAUUUGAACUGAACUUGCAGUCCUCUCCUGCCUCAACCUCCCAGAAUGCUGGCAUCACAGAUGUGCACCACCACACAUGACCAUCCAUACUGUCUUCGUCUCUCUGCAGUGUUAUAGCUAGGCAUGCUCUCCCAGGAGGCCAAGCACAUAGGACCACCCAGUCUUGGAGGUUCCUCCUCCAAAAUUUGCAGGUGAGGAGGGGCCCUGGGAGCCACGUGACCCAACUUCUGCCUGGAGUGAGAGACAUGACAUCAGCCAGCCACUUCCUCAGGCUGCGUGGUGAAUCGGUGAAUGGGAGCCUUCCCGAGCAAGGACCAGAACAUGUGACCCGGUGCCCCAAGGACAGAGCAUUGCCCUGUGGCACACAGCAGCCCUGGGUUGCUGUGUGCCUCAGUUUCCUCACUCUGAGGUUGCUGAUGGACAUUUUUCUCUGCCUGGCAGUUACUGGGUAAAAAUGUCCUCCCAUACUAGACACUCAAAGAUGGGUGCUUUUAGAAGCCAUUGUUUCAUUCUUUUACAAGUUCUAUGCUGCCUUUAUUUAAAAAAAAA
Chinchilla lanigera (long-tailed chinchilla) is the source of this 678-nucleotide long non-coding RNA. RefSeq lists it as uncharacterized. The record is from RefSeq and is a predicted model, not a curated record. The transcript is spliced from 2 exons. Lineage: Eukaryota; Metazoa; Chordata; Mammalia; Rodentia; Chinchillidae.